UACCAAUUUAAAGCGCCAGAUCUAUUGAGACUACUUCAAAUAGAUGACGAGGACAGAGCUUAUCGAAUAUUCGGCGGGUGGCUCUAGGGUCUGCACUCUACAGACAAGGACAAAACAAGACUGUGAGGUCUACACAAAACACUUGUCAUGCAGUUAG
This 157-nucleotide non-coding RNA is filed under the name Enterococcus saccharolyticus. RNAcentral's name for it is "GlcN6P sequence". It matches the Rfam family "glmS glucosamine-6-phosphate activated ribozyme aptamer". From Rfam's summary of the family: This entry contains a glucosamine-6-phosphate activated ribozyme that is found in the mRNA for GlmS. GlmS is an enzyme that uses fructose-6-phosphate and glutamine to generate glucosamine-6-phosphate. The record is from RNAcentral. Lineage: Bacteria; Bacillati; Bacillota; Bacilli; Lactobacillales; Enterococcaceae. RNAcentral also lists the same sequence under 1 other name.